CUUGGUGGCCAUAGCGUCCGUGACCCACCCGAUCCCAUCUCGAACUCGGCCGUGAAACCGGACUGCGCCGAUGGUACUGUGUCCUAAGGCACGGAAGAGUAGGUCGCCGCCAGGC
RNAcentral lists this ribosomal RNA (115 nucleotides) under Erythrobacter sp. HL-111. The record is from RNAcentral. Lineage: Bacteria; Pseudomonadati; Pseudomonadota; Alphaproteobacteria; Sphingomonadales; Erythrobacteraceae.